Long non-coding RNA from Lycium ferocissimum, 359 nucleotides. RefSeq lists it as uncharacterized. The transcript is spliced from 2 exons. The record is from RefSeq and is a predicted model, not a curated record. Lineage: Eukaryota; Viridiplantae; Streptophyta; Magnoliopsida; Solanales; Solanaceae.
UAAGCCUCUGUAGGGGUAUUAUCCAACAUUUGUGCUAGUGAAAGAUAACACGAUAAAAUAUAUUAGACGAUUGUUUUCUAUCUAUCUAAACCUCUAUGGAUAGAGUUAUCCAACAUUUCAUUCAGUGAAAGGUAACGGGUACAUUCAACCUCCAACAAAUACAAAAGAUGUUAGACGAUUUCUGUUUCUAUCCAACAUUUGUGUCGGUGAAAUAUAGCGAGUACGCUCAAUCUGGUCCGGACACUACUACUAUUGAAAAAAGGGACUUAUAUUCAAUUAUUCCUUUGAUGAGAAAUCACCUGUUAUACCAACUGAAGUAUCAAAAAGCUGUGCCAACUGCAGAAACCAAAAAUGAGAAA